CCAGACUCCUACGGGAGGCAGCAGUGAGGAAUAUUGGUCAAUGGCCGAGAGGCUGAACCAGCCAAGUCGCGUGAGGGAAGACGGCCCUACGGGUUGUAAACCUCUUUUGUCGGGGAGCAAAGCGAGUCACGUGUGACUCAUUGAGAGUACCCGAAGAAAAAGCAUCGGCUAACUCCGUGCCAGCAGCCGCGGUAAUACGGAGGAUGCGAGCGUUAUCCGGAUUUAUUGGGUUUAAAGGGUGCGCAGGCGGAGGUGCAAGUCAGCGGUCAAAUUGCGGGGCUCAACCCCGUACUGCCGUUGAAACUGCAUCCCUUGAGUGCGCGAGAAGUAUGCGGAAUGCGUGGUGUAGCGGUGAAAUGCUUAGAUAUCACGAAGAACCCCGAUUGCGAAGGCGGCCUGCCGCAGCGUUACUGACGCUGAAGCUCGAAAGCGCGGGUAUCGAACAGGAUUAGAUACCCUGGUA
Molecule: ribosomal RNA, 463 nt
Filed under: uncultured bacterium
Lineage: Bacteria
Description: bacterial SSU rRNA
Rfam family: Bacterial small subunit ribosomal RNA
Source: RNAcentral